GACGAACGCUGGCGGCGUGCUUAACACAUGCAAGUCGAACGGAAAGGCCCUGCUUUUGUGGGGUGCUCGAGUGGCGAACGGGUGAGUAACAUGUGAGUAACCUGCCCUUGACUUUGGGAUAACUUCAGGAAACUGGGGCUAAUACCGGAUAGGAGCUCCUGCUGCAUGGUGGGGGUUGGAAAGUUUCGGCGGUUGGGGAUGGACUCGCGGCUUAUCAGCUUGUUGGUGGGGUAGUGGCUUACCAAGGCUUUGACGGGUAGCCGGCCUGAGAGGGUGACCGGCAACAUUGGAACUGGGAUACGGCCCAGACUCCUACGGGAGGAAGCAGUGGGGAAUAUUGCACAAUGGGCGGAAGCCUGAUCCAGCAACGCCGCGUGCGGGAUGACGGCCUUCGGGUUGUAAACCGCUUUCGCCUGUGACGAAGCGUGAGUGACGGUAAUGGGUAAAGAAGCACCGGCUAACUACGUG
This 468-nucleotide ribosomal RNA is filed under the name uncultured bacterium. Its description in RNAcentral is "partial 16S ribosomal RNA". It matches the Rfam family "Bacterial small subunit ribosomal RNA", at positions 28 to 507 of the family's 1533-position model. The record is from RNAcentral.